AAAUUUUAAAAAACCUCCUUGUGGUUUCACUUUUUCUCACUUUAGUACCCUGUGGUUUAAAAAGUAUCAAGUUAGUACCCUGUGGUUUCGUACUUUCUCACUUUAGUAUCUUGUGGUUUAAAGUAUAUCAAGUUAGUACUCUGUGGUUUCGUACUUUCUCACUUUAGUACUCUGUGGUUUAAUAUUUCAUUUGGAGAAAAAUAAAACCACAGGAUACUAAUUUGAUACAAAAAUAAAAACACAGGAUAUUAACUUGAUACAAAAAUAAAAUCACAGAGUACUAACUUGAUACACUUGAAACCACAGGAUAUUAAAGUGAGAAAGUGCGAAACCACAUGGUACUAAUUUGAUACACUUUAAACAACAGAGUAGUAAAGUGAAAAAGUACGAA
Molecule: long non-coding RNA, 391 nt
Filed under: Ananas comosus (pineapple)
Lineage: Eukaryota; Viridiplantae; Streptophyta; Magnoliopsida; Poales; Bromeliaceae
Description: long non-coding RNA (ACOM_LNC044871)
Source: RNAcentral